Non-coding RNA from Caenorhabditis elegans, 21 nucleotides. The record is from Ensembl. NCBI's taxonomy places the organism in Eukaryota, Metazoa, Nematoda, Chromadorea, Rhabditida, Rhabditidae.
UUCUUCAGCAUAUGGAUCAAA